This 84-nucleotide transfer RNA is filed under the name Bacteroidales bacterium. Its description in RNAcentral is "tRNA-Leu". It matches the Rfam family "tRNA". From Rfam's summary of the family: Transfer RNA (tRNA) molecules are approximately 80 nucleotides in length. Their secondary structure includes four short double-helical elements and three loops (D, anti-codon, and T loops). Further hydrogen bonds mediate the characteristic L-shaped molecular structure. tRNAs have two regions of fundamental functional importance: the anti-codon, which is responsible for specific mRNA codon recognition, and the 3' end, to which the tRNAs corresponding amino acid is attached (by aminoacyl-tRNA synthetases). tRNAs cope with the degeneracy of the genetic code in two manners: having more than one tRNA (with a specific anti-codon) for a particular amino acid; and 'wobble' base-pairing, i.e. permitting non-standard base-pairing at the 3rd anti-codon position. RNAcentral also lists the same sequence under 1 other name. The record is from RNAcentral. Lineage: Bacteria; Pseudomonadati; Bacteroidota; Bacteroidia; Bacteroidales.
GCCCGAGUGGUGAAAUGGUAGACACGAAGGACUUAAAAUCCUUUGGCCAUUGCGGCUGUACCGGUUCGAGUCCGGUCUCGGGCA